CAGANUCUACGGGAGGCAGCAGUGGGGAAUUUUGGACAAUGGGGGAAACCUGAUCCAGCCAUCCGCGUGUGCGAUGAAGGCUUCGGGUUGUAAAGCACUUUGUCAGGGAAGAAAAGGUUUCGGAUAAUACCCGGAACUGAUGACGGUACUGAAGAAUAAGCACCGGCUAACUACGUGCCAGCAGCCGCGGUAAUACGUAGGGUGCAAGCGUUAAUCGGAAUUACUGGGCGUAAAGCGUGCGCAGGCGGUUCGGAAAGAAAGAUGUGAAAUCCCAGGGCUCAACCUUGGAACUGCAUUUUUAACUACCGGACUAGAGUAUGUCAGAGGGGGGUGGAAUUCCACGUGUAGCAGUGAAAUGCGUAGAUAUGUGGAGGAACACCGAUGGCGAAGGCAGCCCCCUGGGAUAAUACUGACGCUCAUGCACGAAAGCGUGGGGAGCAAACAGGAUUAGAUACCCUGGUAGUCCACGCCCUAAACGAUGUCAACUAGCUGUUGGGCCCUUCGGGGCUUAGUAGCGCAGCUAACGCGUGAAGUUGACCGCCUGGGGAGUACGGUCGCAAGAUUAAAACUCAAAGGAAUUGACGGGGACCCGCACAAGCGGUGGAUGAUGUGGAUUAAUUCGAUGCAACGCGAAAAACCUUACCUACCCUUGACAUGUCUGGAAUCCUGAAGAGAUUUAGGAGUGCUCGCAAGAGAACCGGAACACAGGUGCUGCAUGGCUGUCGUCAGCUCGUGUCGUGAGAUGUUGGGUUAAGUCCCGCAACGAGCGCAACCCUUGUCAUUAGUUGCUACAUUUAGUUGAGCACUCUAAUGAGACUGCCGGUGACAAACCGGAGGAAGGUGGGGAUGACGUCAAGUCCUCAUGGCCCUUAUGGGUAGGGCUUCACACGUCAUACAAUGGUCGGGACAGAGGGUUGCCAAGCCGCAAGGUGGAGCCAAUCUCACAAACCCGAUCGUAGUCCGGAUUGCAGGCUGCAACUCGCCUGCAUGAAGUCGGAAUCGCUAGUAAUCGCGGAUCAGCA
Molecule: ribosomal RNA, 1022 nt
Filed under: uncultured bacterium
Lineage: Bacteria
Description: bacterial SSU rRNA
Rfam family: Bacterial small subunit ribosomal RNA
Source: RNAcentral